RNAcentral lists this ribosomal RNA (264 nucleotides) under uncultured bacterium. Its description in RNAcentral is "partial 16S ribosomal RNA". It matches the Rfam family "Bacterial small subunit ribosomal RNA", at positions 57 to 305 of the family's 1533-position model. The record is from RNAcentral.
GCAAGUCGAACGAGAAAGUUCUCUUCGGAGAACGAGUAAAGUGGCGCACGGGUGAGUAACGCGUAAGUGAUCUACCCUUGCAUCUGGAAUAACUACGGGAAGCUGUAGCUAAUACCGGAUACGUUCAUAUAAUUACGAUUAUAUGAAGAAAGAUGGCCUCUUCUUGAAAGCUAUCGUGCAGGGAGGAGCUUGCGUACCAUUAGCUAGUUGGUAGGGUAAUGGCCUACCAAGGCAACGAUGGUUAGCGGGUCUGAGAGGAUGAUC